Molecule: long non-coding RNA, 1218 nt
Organism: Argentina anserina (silverweed cinquefoil)
Lineage: Eukaryota; Viridiplantae; Streptophyta; Magnoliopsida; Rosales; Rosaceae
Exons: 3
Source: RefSeq, a predicted model, not a curated record
CUCUUGUCUUCCACCGAACCACCACCAAUCCUUCUCCUUAAUUGACCAUUGUUGUUCCGGCGAGACUGGGGCAUGCAAUUCCACCAUCAUUUUCAUCUCCUCAUUCUCUUCCAAACCAUGUCUCUAAAUCUUCCAUUCACCCAUGAUUUUGGUGAGAUCGAAAUCGGAGUAGGCCAGCCGUCUCCAUAGAUUUCCAGCGAAGCUGCAAGCUCCGGUGAGCUGGUCUGACUCUCUCUUGUUGAUCUUUUCUAUCUCAACGAGAUGGAGAACGUCUACAACCCAGAAACUCCUCCAUUGGUACUCUCUCCUUCCCUCUUUAGUUUUGGACCUUUAUCUUAAACCGAAUCUUCUUUUGUCUUUGUUUUGCAAACGAUGAACCUAUGCUGCAAACAUCUCCGGCGAUUAUUCCCUUCACUUCUAUAUGUCGAGAUGGGCUAGAAAAGGGGCAAGGAUGAGUUUUGGGAAGCAGCAUAGCAUAGGAAAAUGCAGCAACCUGGAAUACGGUGAGGAGAAGCCUUCGGGGACUACUAUUGUGUUUCUGGAAAUCAAUCAAGAGUUAAUGCUACGAGAUCGAGCAAAGGAGGAGCAUCAACAAUUACUUUUAUGAGUUGGAUAAUGGCUGAGAUUCUGCACGUCAUCUAGGUAGAGGAGUUAACUCUCAUAUGUUGUAUUUGGCCAAUUAUAAAUUGCAUAGUUCCCGGUUGUUGAUUUAUUGAUGUAAUAAUGUUGUGAAAACCCGAGAAUAGGCACGAUUUCGAGAUAGGGUAAGUAGUGAAUCUUUGCGUGUGUUGACCUGAGAGUGACAUGACACUAGUAUUUUAGGUAAUCCUAUGAUGUUGAUGACCGUGAACCUCCAGAGGGGUAAUGCCUUAUUUAUUAUUGGAUCAAUUAUUUUAUAUACUAUUGAGGGCAUUCCAUUUAAAUUGACACUCUCGUUACUCUGUUAUUAUGACAGAGGUGUAGUUGACCUCGACUAUUUAGCCGCUAGGAUUGGUCGAAGUUGAAUUUGCCCUAUCCUACCUUUGGAGCUCCACAAACUAUUUUAUCAUGAUAUUUCUCAUACUUGCAUAAUUUAUUUAAAUGUGAUUUUCUCUGGCCAGAAACUUACCCUCAAUGUUUUAUAAAAAUAUGUUUUAUAUCCCUACUUGCUUUUUCAACCCUCAUGGACGGGCUGGCCCUUACUGGGCAAGUGAGGACGACGCUCACCCUACUUUAGUU